CCUUAAAGCGCUGGGAUACCUCCGGGAAACCGGGGCUAAUACCGGAUGGUUGUUUGAACCGCAUGGUUCAAACAUAAAAGGUGGGUUUUCGGCUACCACUUACAGAUGGACCCGCGGCGCAUUAGCUAGUUGGUGAGGUAACGGCUCACCAAGGCAACGAUGCGUAGCCGACCUGAGAGGGUGAUCGGCCACACUGGGACUGAGACACGGCCCAGACUCCUACGGGAGGCAGCAGUAGGGAAUCUUCCGCAAUGGACGAAAGUCUGACGGAGCAACGCCGCGUGAGUGAUGAAGGUUUUCGGAUCGUAAAGCUCUGUUGUUAGGGAAGAACAAGUACCGUUCGAAUAGGGCGGUACCUUGACGGUACCUAACCAGAAAGCCACGGCUAACUACGUGCCAGCAGCCGCGGUAAUACGUAGGUGGCAAGCGUUGUCCGGAAUUAUUGGGCGUAAAGGGCUCGCAGGCGGUUUCUUAAGUCUGAUGUGAAAGCCCCCGGCUCAACCGGGGAGGGUCAUUGGAAACUGGGGAACUUGAGUGCAGAAGAGGAGAGUGGAAUUCCACGUGUAGCGGUGAAAUGCGUAGAGAUGUGGAGGAACACCAGUGGCGAAGGCGACUCUCUGGUCUGUAACUGACGCUGAGGAGCGAAAGCGUGGGGAGCGAACAGGAUUAGAUACCCUGGUAGUCCACGCCGUAAACGAUGAGUGCUAAGUGUUAGGGGGUUUCCGCCCCUUAGUGCUGCAGCUAACGCAUUAAGCACUCCGCCUGGGGAGUACGGUCGCAAGACUGAAACUCAAAGGAAUUGACGGGGGCCCGCACAAGCGGUGGAGCAUGUGGUUUAAUUCGAAGCAACGCGAAGAACCUUACCAGGUCUUGACAUCCUCUGACAAUCCUAGAGAUAGGACGUCCCCUUCGGGGGCAGAGUGACAGGUGGUGCAUGGUUGUCGUCAGCUCGUGUCGUGAGAUGUUGGGUUAAGUCCCGCAACGAGCGCAACCCUUGAUCUUAGUUGCCAGCAUUCAGUUGGGCACUCUAAGGUGACUGCCGGUGACAAACCGGAGGAAGGUGGGGAUGACGUCAAAUCAUCAUGCCCCUUAUGACCUGGGCUACACACGUGCUACAAUGGGCAGAACAAAGGGCAGCAAAACCCGAGAGGUUAACCCAAUCCCCCAAAUCCUGUUCUCAAUUCGGGAUUCCAGUCUUGAAUCU
Molecule: ribosomal RNA, 1204 nt
Filed under: Bacillus sp. (in: firmicutes)
Lineage: Bacteria; Bacillati; Bacillota; Bacilli; Caryophanales; Bacillaceae
Description: bacterial SSU rRNA
Rfam family: Bacterial small subunit ribosomal RNA
Source: RNAcentral